This 294-nucleotide ribosomal RNA is filed under the name Wolbachia sp. Its description in RNAcentral is "partial 23S ribosomal RNA". It matches the Rfam family "Bacterial large subunit ribosomal RNA", at positions 791 to 1083 of the family's 2925-position model. The record is from RNAcentral. Lineage: Bacteria; Pseudomonadati; Pseudomonadota; Alphaproteobacteria; Rickettsiales; Anaplasmataceae.
GCAACAUUAUUGGAUGAGUUGUGAUUAGGGGUGAAAGGCCAAUCAAACUUGGAAAUAGCUGGUUCUCCGCGAAAUCUAUUUAGGUAGAGCGUUGUAUGUAUGUUGUUGGGGGUAGAGCACUGGAUAGACUAGGGGGAUUCAUCAUCUUACCAAAUCUAACCAAACUCCGAAUACCAACAAUUGAUUAUACAGCAGACACACUACGGGUGCUAAGUCCGUGGUGGAAAGGGAAACAGCCCAGAUCACUAUCUAAGGUCCCAAAAUUACAGCUAAGUGGGGAAGGAAGUAGAAAAA